GUUUAGAAUAGUUUUUUUCAGUUUAUUUCAUUUGAACAUACGAAUAAAGUUGCCAACUAACUUUCAUGCUUGUACAUUCGCACAAUAAGAUUUGAAAUCAGAGGCUUUGCGUUUUCGGUACAUUUCUCGUAUAUACAAGAUUGUUCAAUAAAUUGAACAAUGCACCAAAUCUGUUCUCAUAUCUAUUAUAUAGUUUCUAAAUCACCCGGUUUUUCGUCAUAAACUAAUUAGAAAGUAUGGAAAUUUUGAUUAUUUUGCCUUAUUUUAUGAAAAUCUCGAUUAUCCGUCUUUUUCGAUUAUUAUAAUGUCGUGCAUGGCAUCUAAGGUUGAUCACAUACAACAAAUCUUGAUAUACCAUUAUCGACUGCAAUAGUGCUGUUAUAUUGCUGUAAGUUAAAUGUCAAAUAAGCAAUAUUGUUUUGUGUGUGGCUUACGAAAAUAUUUCAGAACGUACAUUACUACGUCGUACACAAGCAGUUUGAAAAACUAAAUAACAAAAUUAUCAGCAGCAACAACCGUUUUACGAAGAGUAAAAAGUGACAGUAAUAUUACAUUUUUUCAUCCGGAAGUAUUGUUUAAUACUCAACGUCUUUAUUCAUUCGGUCGAUUAAUAUGCCUCGUUGUGAACUUCCAUAUGUGUAUAAGCCUGUUUGUGGCACAGAUGGUGUAAAAUAUGUAAAUAUUGUGGAUCCGGAAUGCACUCAAAAAAAAAAGAAUAUGGGAAACUUGUGAACUUACAACUGAAACAUAAGGGCGCUUGCUGGAUAUGGAAAAAAUACGGAUUCGAAACACACACACAGUUCUUUUUUUUGUGGUGGUAAUUCCGGAAACGGUUUAGUAUUUGUGAAUGCAGCAAAUGAAGCUUCUCUAAUCGGAGUAUAGGACAAGUACAUUGUAUAGGAACUAGGCCGUCGACUUACGCGUCUGUACCAGCGUACCGCGAAUGGAUCAAAUCAGUUGU
This is a long non-coding RNA of Sitodiplosis mosellana (orange wheat blossom midge), 961 nucleotides long. RefSeq lists it as uncharacterized. The transcript is spliced from 3 exons. Lineage: Eukaryota; Metazoa; Arthropoda; Insecta; Diptera; Cecidomyiidae. The record is from RefSeq and is a predicted model, not a curated record.